UGUGGGAGCGGGCUUGCUCGCGAAGGCGUCGGCACAUCCAGCAUCAAUGUGACAGAUAGACCGUCUUCGCGAGCAAGCCCGCUCCCACA
RNAcentral lists this unclassified non-coding RNA (89 nucleotides) under Pseudomonas lini. Lineage: Bacteria; Pseudomonadati; Pseudomonadota; Gammaproteobacteria; Pseudomonadales; Pseudomonadaceae. The record is from RNAcentral.